GCCUCACUUCUCCAGCGCAUCUGCAGUAGAUAGAAACACAUUUGGAAGAGAAACAUCAUAAGAUUAUUUGCCACAAAUAGACAAGAAGUUAUGUAAUCACAUGCACUAUCAUAGAAGACUAAAAGUACAUCCAUUAAUUGCCACAUAAUAUUUGGUUUGUAGAAGGACAAGGUUACAUAUUUUAUCAGAUAAAAACUUUAUUCACUAAUUCAGGAAAUGAUUAGAGACUCUACAGGAAUUAUAUGAAAUUUAAGGUACAUAAAACAUAACCAUGCCU
Molecule: unclassified non-coding RNA, 277 nt
Filed under: Hevea brasiliensis (rubber tree)
Lineage: Eukaryota; Viridiplantae; Streptophyta; Magnoliopsida; Malpighiales; Euphorbiaceae
Source: RNAcentral